Molecule: transfer RNA, 81 nt
Filed under: Schizophyllum amplum
Lineage: Eukaryota; Fungi; Basidiomycota; Agaricomycetes; Agaricales; Schizophyllaceae
Description: Auriculariopsis ampla tRNA-Glu
Rfam family: tRNA
About the family: Transfer RNA (tRNA) molecules are approximately 80 nucleotides in length. Their secondary structure includes four short double-helical elements and three loops (D, anti-codon, and T loops).
Source: RNAcentral
UCGGAUAUGGUGUAACGGCCAACAUUGCCGCCUCUCAUAGUCAGUGCGCGGCAGCUCGGGGUUCGAUUCCCCGUAUCCGAA